CCUACGGGAGGCAGCAGUGAGGAAUAUUGGUCAAUGGGCGGAAGCCUGAACCAGCCAAGUAGCGUGCGGGAUGAAGGCCCUACGGGUCGUAAACCGCUUUUGCACGGGGAUAAAACCUUCCACUGGUGGAGGUCUGUAGGUACCGUGCGAAUAAGGGCCGGCUAAUUCCGUGCCAGCAGCCGCGGUAAUACGGAAGGCCCGAGCGUUAUCCGGUUUCAUUGGGUUUAAAGGGAGCGUAGGCGGGCGUUCAAGUCAGCUGUAAAAUCGCGCGGCUCAACCGCGCCCCGCAGUUGAAACUGGACGCCUUUAGUUCAGAAGAGGCGGGCGGAAUUCGUGGUGUAGCGGUGAAAUGCAUAGAUAUCACGAGGAACCCCGAUUGCGAAGGCAG
RNAcentral lists this ribosomal RNA (388 nucleotides) under uncultured bacterium. RNAcentral's name for it is "partial 16S ribosomal RNA". It matches the Rfam family "Bacterial small subunit ribosomal RNA", at positions 338 to 724 of the family's 1533-position model. The record is from RNAcentral.